GGUGGCCAGGCGGGCCGGGCCGGUCGGGCGCGGUCGGACUGGGCCGGUUCGGCCCAAAGUGGCCGGGCCGGUCCGGUUUACCCCGUUUUUUUUUCUUUUAGGCCUUUCUUUUUCUGUUUUUCUCAUUUCUUUGAUAUCUUUUGAGCUUGAACUCCAAAUUGGUCCAAAUAAAUUCUAGAAAAUUUGUAAAAUCAUGUUCUACCAAGAUACAACUUUUGGGGGGGUAGUUUCCCCUCAGAAUAAAUUAUAUAAAAAUACAUUUUCUCUAGAAAUGCCUCUAGGGCUAUAUAUCUAUUUAAAUAAAAUACCUUUCCAACUCCAAAUAAUUAUCCAAAAAUUAUGGGAUAGCUUCUAUAUGCAUUAAACCCCUUUUAUACAUAAACCCUAUUGGUUUGAAAAUCCAAAGCUUAAAUGGGUGUAAACAAAGUCUUUUAAAGCCCUUUUGAGAUUCAAAUUUGAAUUCAAAUAUGCAAUUGUGGCAUGAUGCUCAUGGAUGCAAUGCACAUGUAAAAGUUUGAAAUUUUGGGAUGUUACAAACGAUGUGACAAGUGAGAGGCGUCGUAAAGACACGGUGGUGGCCCAUGCCUCCGCAGCUCCGAGGGUGCUGCUGGAGGGUGCACUGCCACCGCGUCCUUGCCACGGCUCUCAACAAGGUGCUAC
Molecule: long non-coding RNA, 660 nt
Filed under: Brachypodium distachyon (stiff brome)
Lineage: Eukaryota; Viridiplantae; Streptophyta; Magnoliopsida; Poales; Poaceae
Description: long non-coding RNA (BDIS_LNC004963)
Source: RNAcentral